CAAGAAGUUAUACCAGUAUGUCUGCCGCUGCAUUCACACAGGGUACCAGUUGAGCCUCAAAUCCCGAACUCAAAAAUGAACAGAGUGUAUCUGAGUGCAUUCCAGGCUACACAAAAUAGUUUAGCUCUAUAAUUUUCUCUAUUAUUAUAUAUUAUUGUUUUUUUUGUCUAUUAUUUAUAAAUAAAUAAAUACAAUUACUGUA
This is a long non-coding RNA of Colias croceus (clouded yellow), 202 nucleotides long. RefSeq lists it as uncharacterized. The transcript is spliced from 2 exons. Lineage: Eukaryota; Metazoa; Arthropoda; Insecta; Lepidoptera; Pieridae. The record is from RefSeq and is a predicted model, not a curated record.